Molecule: ribosomal RNA, 1218 nt
Filed under: uncultured eukaryote
Lineage: Eukaryota
Description: SSU rRNA
Rfam family: Eukaryotic small subunit ribosomal RNA
Source: RNAcentral
AGUCAUAUGCAUCGUCUCAAGACUAAGCCAUGCAUGUCUAAGUAUAAAUGAUAUACAGUAAAACUGCGAAUGGCUCAUUAAAAUAGUUAUAGUUUAUUUGGUAAUCGAAUUUACAUGGAUAACCGUGGUAAUUCUAGAGCUAAUACAUGCUGUUAAGCCCGACUUUUGGGAAGGGCUGUAUUUAUUAGAUAACAGACCAAUAUUCCUCGUGACUAUUGUGGUGACUCAUAGUAACUGAUCGGAUCGCAUGGGCUUGCCCGCGACAAACCAUUCAAGUUUCUGCCCCAUCAGCUUUCGAUGGUAGUGUAUUGGACUACCAUGGCUUUUACGGGUAACGGAGGAUUAGGGUUCGAUUCCGGAGAGGGAGCCUGAGAAACGGCUACCACAUCUAAGGAAGGCAGCAGGCGCGUAAAUUACCCAAUACUGACUCAGUGAGGUAGUGACAAGAAAUAACGGGCCGGGGAUUUCCCCGGGACUGAAAUGAGUUUAAUUUAAACCCCUUUUCGAGGAUCCAUUGGAGGGCAAGUCUGGUGCCAGCAGCCGCGGUAAUUCCAGCUCCAAUAGCGUAUAUUAAAGUUGUUGCAGUUAAAAAGCUCGUAGUUGGAUUUCUGGCAGGGCGCCGAUGCCCGCUUGUUGCGUGUGCAGAGCGCCCUACCAUCCUUCUGUUAACUCUAAUAGGCAUUGAUUUGUCUGUAGAGGGCUCAGAUAUUUUACCUUGAGAAAAUUAGAGUGUUUCAGGCAGGCUUGCGCCGGAAUACAUUAGCAUGGAAUAAUAGAGUAGGACUUUUACCUCUUCUGUUGGUCUGAGGGGUUGAAGUAAUGAUUAAUAGGGAUAGUUGGGGGCAUUAGUACUUAACUGUCAGAGGUGAAAUUCUCGGAUUUGUUAAAGACUAACUUAUGCGAAAGCAUUUGCCAAGGAUGUUUUCAUUAAUCAAGAACGAAAGUUAGGGGAUCAAAGACGAUCAGAUACCGUCCUAGUCUUAACCAUAAACUAUGCCGACUCGGGAUCGGGAGCGAGAGUUAUCCGCUUUCGGCACCGUAUGAGAAAUCAAAGUCUUUGGGUUCUGGGGGGGAGUAUGGUCGCAAGGCUGAAACUUAAAGAAUUGACGGAAUGUCAUCACAGGCGUGCAGCUUGCUGCUCAGUUGACUCACACGGGGAAACUUAGCAGGUUCAGACUAGUGAGGGAUGAACGAUUGAAUAGCCUCUUUCUUGAAUCC